UACGGAGGGUGCGAGCGUUGUCCGGAAUCAUUGGGCGUAAAGGGCGCGUAGGCGGCCUGCUAAGUCGAACGUGAAAUCCCUGGGCUCAACCCAGGAACUGCGUCCGAUACUGGUUGGCUUGAAUCCGGGAGAGGGAUGUGGAAUUCCAGGUGUAGCGGUGAAAUGCGUAGAUAUCUGGAGGAACACCGGUGGCGAAGGCGACAUCCUGGACCGGCAUUGACGCUGAGGCGCGAAAGCCAGGGGAGCAAACGGG
Molecule: ribosomal RNA, 253 nt
Filed under: uncultured bacterium
Lineage: Bacteria
Description: partial 16S ribosomal RNA
Rfam family: Bacterial small subunit ribosomal RNA
Source: RNAcentral